UCCAGAGGGUGCGGACGUUAAUCGGAAUUACUGGGCGUAAAGCGUGCGUAGACGGUCAUGUAAGUCGGGUGUGAAAUCCCCGGGCUCAACCUGGGAAUUGCAUUCGAGACUGCGUGGCUAGGGUGCGGAAGAGGGAAGCGGAAUUUCCGGUGUAGCGGUGAAAUGCGUAGAUAUCGGAAGGAACAUCAGUGGCGAAAGCGGCUUCCUGGUCCAGCACCGACGUUCAGGCACGAAAGCGUGGGGAGCAAACAGG
RNAcentral lists this ribosomal RNA (253 nucleotides) under uncultured bacterium. Its description in RNAcentral is "partial 16S ribosomal RNA". It matches the Rfam family "Bacterial small subunit ribosomal RNA", at positions 524 to 776 of the family's 1533-position model. The record is from RNAcentral.